GGAUCCCAAAGGUGCGGCAGCUGGAGGCUUGUGCUCCUGGAGGGAAAUCUGAGCAGGGCUCUCUUCCACAGCUGCCAUACCUCCUUUACCUGGAACCUGGAGAUGCUCCUUGCAAUGAAUGAUCCAGAGCAGCUUAUAGUCAAAGGGAAGGCUGACUCUGGAACUCAAGCCUUCUCACUCAAAGGCCAGUAGUCUUUGUUUCUGGUGAGGGCCAGAUGAAUGAAGCAUAAAUAGUUUGUCCUGUUUUAUCAGUAGCUGUCACAAGGCAUCAUUUCUUUGGCAGCAGAUCUUAGCACAGUUUAUAUGUUUAAUAUUUAACAUAUAUCAGUAACCUAUGACUCAAGCUGAUCACAGACUCAAAUAUAAUGUACCUUGUGGAUGAGCAAGAAGUAAAAAUAGUGUAAGCAUUUCAUCUUGGCCGGGAAAUAGAUAUGAAUGUUCAUGGAAGAAUGAACAAAGGAAGAGGCUUGCAGGUUGGGUCAAUUAAUUCUCUCUCUGGAAUUUUGAACUGAGAUUCACAGAGAAGCUGUUGUGAAGGAGCCAUGGAUAGCUGGAGGGUCUUCCUAGUUAAAGCCUGGACUGAAAACAAGUAAGAAGCACUUUUUGGGUUCGUUCAGUUUUGAGGCAGAGUAUAGUAGUGCAAUCACAGCUCAUUACAACCUGGAACUCCCCAGCUCAAGUGAUCCUCCACCUUCAGCCUCUCAAGUAUCUAGUACUACAG
Molecule: long non-coding RNA, 721 nt
Filed under: Homo sapiens (human)
Lineage: Eukaryota; Metazoa; Chordata; Mammalia; Primates; Hominidae
Description: HSALNT0377088
Source: RNAcentral